UUCUGGCUCAGGAUGAACGCUAGCUACAGGCUUAACACAUGCAAGUCGAGGGGCAGCAUUGGAGUAGCAAUACUCAGAUGGCGACCGGCGCACGGGUGAGUAACACGUAUCCAACCUGCCGCUUACUCGGGGAUAGCCUUUCGAAAGAAAGAUUAAUACCCGAUGGUAUAAAGAGUUCGCAUGUUCUCUUUAUUAAAGAAUUUCGGUAAGCGAUGGGGAUGCGUUCCAUUAGAUAGUUGGCGGGGUAACGGCCCACCAAGUCUACGAUGGAUAGGGGUUCUGAGAGGAAGGUCCCCCACAUUGGAACUGAGACACGGUCCAAACUCCUACGGGAGGCAGCAGUGAGGAAUAUUGGUCAAUGGACGCGAGUCUGAACCAGCCCAAGUAGCGUGAAGGAUGACUGCCCUAUGGGUUGUAAACUUCUUUUAUAAGGGAAUAAAGUGAGGGACGUGUCCCUUUUUGUAUGUACCUUACGAAUAAGGAUCGGCUAACUCCGUGCCAGCCGCCGC
This 509-nucleotide ribosomal RNA is filed under the name uncultured bacterium. RNAcentral's name for it is "bacterial SSU rRNA". It matches the Rfam family "Bacterial small subunit ribosomal RNA", at positions 17 to 518 of the family's 1533-position model. The record is from RNAcentral.